Molecule: long non-coding RNA, 262 nt
Filed under: Trifolium pratense (red clover)
Lineage: Eukaryota; Viridiplantae; Streptophyta; Magnoliopsida; Fabales; Fabaceae
Description: long non-coding RNA (TPRA_LNC003686)
Source: RNAcentral
CGGCUGUGAUUAAAAGCCAUCAAAUGGCCAAGAUUCGAUCUCAAGAGAAAUCAAAAGACGCAACGAUCUAACGGCUAGAAAGCCUCCUCGUAAAGCGAAGCAAUUAAUGUCUUUUCCCUAGGCAAUAAUUGCGUCUCUUCAUAGCCCACACACGUGGCUUGAAAAGGCGAAACGCUUGUCUUUUCAGGUCACUUCAAACUGACGAUGCGCUCCUCGAGGAACUCAUCGUUAUCCCCAACGCAAAUAUCUCAUCGACGUUUCG